GUGCUUGCUUCAGCAGCACGUAUACUAAAAAAUUAGAAUGACGCAGAAAAGAUUAGCAUGGUCCCUGUGAAGAAUGACAAACAAAUUCAUGGAGCAUUCCAUUAUGCU
This is a small nuclear RNA of Capra hircus (goat), 108 nucleotides long. Lineage: Eukaryota; Metazoa; Chordata; Mammalia; Artiodactyla; Bovidae. The record is from Ensembl.